UUUUCCAACAGUCAUGUGCUCUAGAGGCCAGUCUGAGCUCUUUCUGCUACUUUCCCAGAAAUAUCUUAAUUCUCUAGGUUUAAGACAAAGCUUUGUGACUUAGUAGUUGAGUAAGUUUGUGUAAUUUGUUUGAGGGCACUCAAAAUGUUGCUUAGUUUUCUUAGUUUUCUCUUGUAAAAUAAUAGGAUAAUAAUCCUUGUUUUGAUUAGUUUAUGCAACUUUUUCUGAGGAUUAAUGCCAAGACUUGUGAAAGUCCUCUGUAAACAGCAAAUCUUUAAUUAAACAUUAAAUGUCAAUAUAGUUAUAACCUUUUUGUUAUAGCUAUACAGAUAAAUUGGUUCCUUUUUAAAUUUUUUUUAAGGAGGCCGAUGCCUUGUCUAAUAGGUGAAUGGGGCUUUGUUUUUUUUUUUUUUUUUUUUUUUUUUUAACUUGGUACAGGAAGAAAUGAAAGAAAGGGGCAUUAAUAUAUACUGAAUAUCUGCUGUGUCAGGCGUUUUACAUAUAUUGAUUGCUUCUUUUUUUUUUUUUUUUCUUUUUUUCUUUUUCCCUUUUUGUGAAGAAUGAGGUCUCGCUAUAUUGCCCAGGCAGGUCUCGAACUCCUGGCUCAAGCUAUCCUCCCGCCUCUGCCUCCCUAAAAGCUGAGAUUACAGAUCAACAGAUUGAAAGAUUUGGUUGCAAAGGUCAGACACGGAGCAGAAGAUGGAAAGUGAACAAAGAGAACACACCUUUGAACGGCAGUGCAGGUGAUUGUUAUUUAAUGUUUCUUUCAGUCUGAGUUAGUUUAUAUAUACCUGCCUACAGAUGCUUUAACCAUUAACAUCAGUGCCCUCAAGGGUCUUUACAUGUACACAGUCUGAGGCCCAGAAAGGUAAGGUUACUUGUCUUGGCCCUGAGUCCAGGUGACUGUAAAGCCAGCCCUUGGUCUCAGGUCCCUAAGAGUAUGUCCACUGUGUCAAGAAAAAAAUGUUAAAAUGAGAUGAUCACAUGUACCAGAGAAGAGGAAUGGUCGUCAGUGAAUUAUAUUUCACAUCCAGACAUUGCUCUUUAACUUUAAAGUUCUACAAUUCUCAAAAAUUUAGGAGGCUCACUUGGUGCUAUAAGACUUAUUGACUAAAAAGAUUUUGAAAUCCUUAGAUAAAAGGUACUGCAUUAAAUAUUAAAAUAUUCUUAUUACAGAAUAGCUGCAUGAAGCUGGGAUGGGUUUGAAUUGGAUGUGCAUUGCCUGGUUAGUUGGCAGUCUGGUUAUUUGAGGAGAUUAUGUGUAUCUGUUGCAAUAGCAGGAACAGAGGGAAUGUUAGCCCUGGCACUAUAUUCUUAGAAUAAGCUCAAUCCAGACCUCUUCUCUCACUAAUUGUAAGUUUUACUUAUUUUCACUUUUAUUAAAUAUCUUUGUGUUUCAAGGUGAUAAUAUCAGAUCAGAGCACAUUAUAGUGAACAAAACACUCAGGUUGAUUAUUUCUUUCAAGAAUCUCAAAGUCUGUGAGGUAGACAGGUGGGUAUCACCACCUUCUCUUUAUGCGUAAGUACAGC
Molecule: long non-coding RNA, 1530 nt
Filed under: Callithrix jacchus (white-tufted-ear marmoset)
Lineage: Eukaryota; Metazoa; Chordata; Mammalia; Primates; Cebidae
Description: lncRNA (ENSCJAG00000076635.1)
Source: RNAcentral